CAUAAGCUGCAUUGUACGUAUGGAUAUUAAGUUUUAACCUUUAAGCUGUAACAGGGAGUUUUAUAUAGAGCUGGAAUGACAAGCCUUAUUCUCUUCGGACAAUGAGGACAUGCAGGAUAGUUUCUGCGAACACCCACUUUGAGGAGUGGUGGUUUAAAACUUUCUAAUGAAUGUACGGCAAACGCGGCUUACAU
Molecule: non-coding RNA, 194 nt
Filed under: Psychrobacillus sp. OK028
Lineage: Bacteria; Bacillati; Bacillota; Bacilli; Caryophanales; Bacillaceae
Description: 6S / SsrS RNA
Rfam family: 6S / SsrS RNA
About the family: E. coli 6S RNA was the first non coding RNA to be sequenced, but its function was unknown until recently. It consists of 184 nucleotides that fold into an extended hairpin structure with a large single-stranded internal bulge.
Source: RNAcentral